UACGUAGGGUGCGAGCGUUAAUCGGAUUUACUGGGCGCAAAGCGUGCGCAGGCGGCCCGUUAAGACAGGUGUGAAAUCCCUGGGCUCAACCUAGGAAUUGCGCUUGUGACUGGCGGGCUCGAGUACGGUAGAGGGGGGUGGAAUUCCUGGUGUAGCAGUGAAAUGCGUAGAGAUCAGGAGGAACACCGAUGGCGAAGGCAGCCCCCUGGGCCUGUACUGACGCUCAUGCACGAAAGCGUGGGGAGCAAACAGG
This 253-nucleotide ribosomal RNA is filed under the name uncultured microorganism. RNAcentral's name for it is "partial 16S ribosomal RNA". It matches the Rfam family "Bacterial small subunit ribosomal RNA", at positions 524 to 776 of the family's 1533-position model. The record is from RNAcentral.